Molecule: ribosomal RNA, 555 nt
Filed under: uncultured archaeon
Lineage: Archaea
Description: bacterial SSU rRNA
Rfam family: Archaeal small subunit ribosomal RNA
Source: RNAcentral
CACCAGGCGCGAAAACUUUGCAAUGCGGGAAACCGUGACAAGGGAACUCUGAGUGCCCGUUAAAUCGGGCUGUCCAUCGGUUUAAAUAACCGGUGAAGAAAGGGCCGGGCAAGACCGGUGCCAGCCGCCGCGGUAAUACCGGCGGCUCGAGUGGUGGCCACUAUUACUGGGCUUAAAGCGUUCGUAGCUGGUUUGUUAAGUCUCUGGGGAAAUCUUCCGGCUCAACCGGAAGGCGUCUCAGGGAUACUGGCAGACUAGGGACCGGGAGAGGUGAGAGGUACUCCAGGGGUAGGAGUGAAAUCCUGUAAUCCUUGGGGGACCACCUGUGGCGAAGGCGUCUCACCAGAACGGCUCCGACAGUGAGGGACGAAAGCUGGGGGAGCAAACCGGAUUAGAUACCCGGGUAGUCCCAGCUGUAAACGAUGCGCGUUAGGUGUAUCGGUGACCACGAGUCACCGAGGUGCCGAAGAGAAAUCGUGAAACGUGCCGCCUGGGAAGUACGGUCGCAAGGCUGAAACUUAAAGGAAUUGGCGGGGGAGCACAAGGGCGAUUCGC